GAUGAAGAACGUAGCGAAAUGCGAUAAGUAGUGUGAAUUGCAGAAUUCAGUGAAUCAUCGAAUCUUUGAACGCACAUUGCGCCCCUUGGUAUUCCAUGGGGCAUGCCUGUUCGAGCGUCAUUUGUACCUUCAAGCUUUGCUUGGUGUUGGGUGUUUGUCUCGCCUUUGCGUGUAGACUCGCCUUAAAAUAAUUGGCAGCCGGCGUAUUGAUUUCGGAGCGCAGUACAUCUCGCGCUUUGCACUCAUAACGACAGCGUCCAAAAGUACAUUUUACACUCUUGACCUCGGAUCAGGUAGGGAUACACGCUGAACUUAAGCAUAUCAAUAAGCGGAGGA
Molecule: unclassified non-coding RNA, 336 nt
Filed under: soil metagenome
Description: partial contains 5.8S ribosomal RNA, internal transcribed spacer 2, and large subunit ribosomal RNA
Rfam family: 5.8S ribosomal RNA (bases 1-120)
Source: RNAcentral